UUCGCAUAUCAAAAGCGGAGGAAAAGAAACCAACAGGGAUUGCCCUAGUAACGGCGAGUGAAGCGGCAACAGCUCAAAUUUGAAAGCUAGCCUUCGGGUUCGCAUUGUAAUUUGUAGAGGAUGAUUUGGGGAAGCCGCCUGUCUAAGUUCCUUGGAACAGGACGUCAUAGAGGGUGAGAAUCCCGUAUGUGACAGGAAAUGGCACCCUAUGUAAAUCUCCUUCGACGAGUCGAGUUGUUUGGGAAUGCAGCUCUAAAUGGGAGGUAAAUUUCUUCUAAAGCUAAAUAUUGGCGAGAGACCGAUAGCGCACAAGUAGAGUGAUCGAAAGAUGAAAAGCACUUUGGAAAGAGAGUUAAAAAGCACGUGAAAUUGUUGAAAGGGAAGCGCUUGCAAUCAGACUUGUUUAAACUGUUCGGCCGGUCUUCUGACCGGUUUACUCAGUUUGGACAGGCCAGCAUCAGUUUCGGCGGCCGGAUAAAGGCUCUGGGAAUGUGGCCUCCACUUCGGUGGAGGUGUUAUAGCCCAGGGUGUAAUACGGCCAGCCGGGACUGAGGUCCGCGCUCGGCUAGGAUG
RNAcentral lists this ribosomal RNA (573 nucleotides) under Aureobasidium pullulans. RNAcentral describes it as "partial large subunit ribosomal RNA". It matches the Rfam family "Eukaryotic large subunit ribosomal RNA", at positions 35 to 625 of the family's 3401-position model. The record is from RNAcentral. Lineage: Eukaryota; Fungi; Ascomycota; Dothideomycetes; Dothideales; Saccotheciaceae.